This is a regulatory RNA element of Ruegeria sp. ANG-S4, 84 nucleotides long. It matches the Rfam family "chrB-a RNA". The record is from Rfam. Lineage: Bacteria; Pseudomonadati; Pseudomonadota; Alphaproteobacteria; Rhodobacterales; Roseobacteraceae.
GCCAAGGGGUCAGCUUGCGAACACCCCGUGAGGCGGCAGCCCAAGUUUCGCAUGUAUCCGAAGUCAAAAUGGAGACAUGCCAUG